Molecule: unclassified non-coding RNA, 239 nt
Filed under: uncultured fungus
Lineage: Eukaryota; Fungi
Description: sequence contains ITS1, 5.8S rRNA gene
Rfam family: 5.8S ribosomal RNA (bases 191-239)
Source: RNAcentral
UCUCCGUUGGUGAACCAGCGGAGGGAUCAUUCCAGAGAUCAUGCCCUCUAAGGGUAGACCUCCCACCCUGUGUUAAUAUUCUUGUUGCUUUGGCAAGCCGCCUUCGGGCUCUCGGCUCCGGCUGAGGUGCGCCUGCCAGAGGACCCCAACUCUGUGUUUAGUGUCGUCUGAGUACUAUAUAAUAAGUUAAAAAUUUCAACAACGGAUCUCUUGGUUCUGGCAUCGAUGAAGAACGCAGC